Small nucleolar RNA from Quercus robur (English oak), 87 nucleotides. RefSeq annotates it as small nucleolar RNA U54. The record is from RefSeq and is a predicted model, not a curated record. The transcript has a single exon. Lineage: Eukaryota; Viridiplantae; Streptophyta; Magnoliopsida; Fagales; Fagaceae.
GGCUCUGUGAUUACGUGCCUGAAAGGGCAAUAUACGCUAUUCCGACUCAGAACAUGAGCAGAAAAUUCAAUUUUGAAAAUGAGAGCU